CGGACAGGGAGGGUGUGAUAUGGAUUUGUUGACCCCUGAGGUGAUUCUGAUGACCUUUCUGUAUCUCACCUUCCUCAG
Molecule: microRNA precursor, 78 nt
Organism: Chlorocebus sabaeus (green monkey)
Lineage: Eukaryota; Metazoa; Chordata; Mammalia; Primates; Cercopithecidae
Source: Ensembl